AUGCAACAAAGAGUCACUCCAAAGCCACUAAUAGCGGAGAACAAACGAAGAGAUUAUGGUAGGUACUUCAAAGAGUGUCCCAAAGUUUCUACCGGAGAGUCAAGACGAAAAUGUGUGCCAACCCCUAUGCAUAGAUUCCCAAGGUCACGGAACCCGCAAGUUGAUCACCAAAACAUACAUCAAGUGGAUCACUUCUUUCAGAGAUUCAUCCUUUGGCACGAGACGAUUAUCUCCCCUCGGUGUUUUAUUCAAGACGGUGUAGCUCCUUCGUUUUGUUGUUGGUGGUCUAGUUUCGUAGGAGUCACCGUACUAUCAAGAGGGGAUCCGCUUUGGUAA
RNAcentral lists this ribosomal RNA (336 nucleotides) under Triticum aestivum (bread wheat). RNAcentral's name for it is "partial small subunit ribosomal RNA". The record is from RNAcentral. Lineage: Eukaryota; Viridiplantae; Streptophyta; Magnoliopsida; Poales; Poaceae.